RNAcentral lists this non-coding RNA (29 nucleotides) under Rattus norvegicus (Norway rat). The record is from RNAcentral. Lineage: Eukaryota; Metazoa; Chordata; Mammalia; Rodentia; Muridae.
UACAUGUUCUCCCCAGACUAGGAUCAUGU